CUCAUCCCCUCGCACUUCGUUUUCCCCGACCUCGACUCCCUCGCCCAUGGCGACCCCGCUCCGCCGCUACUCGUGCGAUUCGGCGCCGCAAACCGUAGAAUGGAUGAGCGCCAUUGCCGAAUUUCUCCGCCCUUACAAGCCACUCAUGGACGCCCACGUCGUCAACUUCUUCAAGGAUAGGUUGUGGGAAUUGGUGGACGAGGAGUGGAUGGAAUGUCUCCGGAAGGAAUCUGUUGAGAUUUUACUGAAGUUGCCAUCGGGAUUUGUUCGGGACUACUGGCCCGGAUCCCUGCAAGAAUUUGUACUUAAGCUGAGGUCUCUCGCUGUUCAUCGGGAGCCAGUUUCACAUCCGAUUCUACACAAUUUGCACAUGGCGUCACUUGGUACUGUCAUUGCUCAGGGCAUGAAUUCAAAGAAGAAGCAUGAAGUAGAAAUUCUCACUGGCGUAAUUAGCAGGAUUGCUGGUGAUUACGGAGCUGAAACAAUUAUUGAUGUAGGUUCUGGUCAGGGUUAUCUUGCACAAGUGCUGGCUUUUGAGUAUCACUUCUCUGUGAUAGCAAUUGACGCUUCUUUGCACCAUGCAGCUGUUACAAAUUCUCGUGCAGAGAGAAUAAAGAAGCAUUAUGCGGCUAGAUGUGCAGAGAAUCAACAUCUGAAAGUGCCAAAAACUGUCACUUGCCAUGUUCUAUCAAGUGAAUCCUUGACCUCAUUUAGUACUGCUGUAAUACCUGAAAAUAGAGCUGAACAGUGUAUUGAGCCUUCAUUGGUUCUCGCUGGACUUCAUGCUUGUGGAGACCUUUCAGUAAACAUGCUAAGGGCAUUUAUUGACUGUGAGCGGGUUAAAGCAUUAGUAAGCAUUAGCUGUUGUUACAACUUACUAUCUGAAGAAAGCUGCGAGAAGAUCAGCGCAUCUUCUGGAUUUCCGAUAAGCAGUGCUGCUAAAUUAUCUUCCUUAAUCCUUGGAAAAAGCAUGCGCGAUCUUGCUUGUCAGAGUGCAGAACGAUGGAGAAAUCUUACGCAAGAAAUUGCUCUUCAGAAUUUUGAUGUUCAUGCCUUUCGUGCUGCUUUUCAAAUGCUUCUUGAGAAGCACUUUCCAGAGGUCCUAAAAUCCAGUCCAUCAAUUGGCCGCCAAGGGAAAGCUCUACGUCGUCAAAGAUUUAGGAGAGUGCUAGAAUCUCAUUUGGUUGCGGAGGCAAGUGACAACUUUCCUUCUGCUUCCAAGGAACAAUGUGUGGUUGAAGCUAGUAAACCUGUGGAGACUGAAGAGGUUGAAGCUGUUGUUGGAUGUUGCAAUCACUUUGAGCCAACAGACAUCACAUGUGCAACCUUGGAUUUUCCUAGCCAACUCGGUGUGACCGACUCUCUUGGAAAGCCUGAUAAGUACAUGCUUUUCAAAGAGUUUAGCAAAUCUGGACUAGGCCGACUUGGUUGUGGGACCUUACAAGAUGCUGAUUUCUGUGAAAUAUGGAAGGAUGUGCUACCUUUCUGUGAACUUAUAGGUCCUUUUUGGUCUCUUCGGGCUGCUUUAGGUCCGGUGGUGGAAACUUAUAUUUUACUAGAUAGAUUAUUAUUCCUUCAAGAGCAAAGCAAUUCAGUUGAAGCAGUGUUGGUUCCUAUAUUUGAUCCUAUUUUAUCGCCAAGAAAUAUGGCAAUAAUUGCUCGGAAGACUGAUGCAGAUUCACCUAGACUGUGACAUGGUGGGUUGCGGCAAGUUGGUUUUUACUAUUUUUGGCUACCAAUACUGCAUUCUCUUUUGAUGUGGUGAUCUAGCAAGUUGUACUUGCUAUUGCUGAUAUUGAAUCCAAAGGUCUCCACGUCAUCAGCCACCACUUAUCCAUCGAGCCACACAAUCUAUUGAUAUUUAUUAGUAAUAUGAUAUCACCCAUCGGAGAAAGAAGCGUGUGGAGGUUGACUCAAAUUGGGUAUCCACUGAAGAUGUCUUAGUAUAUACUGCUUGGGCAUGCCAUUUUGUAGCUUUUAUGGAGUAUGAUAGUAUUUCCAUGGCUCGUGUGGUCAUGGAAAGUGAUGUACCUUUAUUGUAUUUGGAUGUUUUGUUCUUUCUUGCCAAAGAAUUUUUAUUAGACUGGGUGCAACUCAGUUGAAUUUAUUUCUCCCUUGUGCAGGCCCGGCCCACUAAUUGUGGGCUUUGAGAAGGGGCCCAGUUGAUUCAAUUAUCUAUUGGAUUUGUCGUGAGUUUUAUCUGGUUCCAGGUUCUGUAUCAUUUGGCCUCGUUUAGCUCUAUGAGAUGAGGACAACUGUGGAGGUCGUGGUCAUGGGUGAAAAGGAUGGUGCCUCUCUAUAGUGCUGUGGAGAUUAUUCUGCAUAAUAACCAAGGAACUUCAGAGCCGUCAGGCUUCAUCUCUCUUGUCUCGAGAAAUUGUUGCCUCGACCUAAUCUAUCACUUCAGCUUUGAACCGGUUCUCUCGUCUGCAUCCAUCAAUCUCAACUUUGGUUCCUCACGAUCCAUCCUCAAAACAAUCAACUUUAAUUUGAUGAAAGGUUUCAAUUCCUUUGGCGGCGGCGAUAAAAGUGGAGGUGGAUAUUGGGUGGGAGUUAAGAGAACCGGUCGAUGACUGAAGUGGUGAACCAGUUCCAUGCAAUAAUUUCUUCUUGCACUCUUGUCUCUUCAAGCCUUAUCCUUUUGCACACACCUGGACUCAUCCUAGAAGGUCUCGUGUCAUCAAAUCUUAUACUUUUAAUUGAAAGAGCCAACAUCUGAAGUGAUCUUCUCUGGAGAUCGACCAGGAAACUGUUCCUUGUCUUCUGGUUAAUGUGCUGGUUUCACCACAGCCGAUCAACUCAUACGUAGUGCUACGUAGCAUUUACUCGCUUUCUCUUUCCAUACUUUUUGUUUGUUUGCAGCAGUGCCCUGUUAGCUCAAUUAGGAAGCUCCAAGGUCUCAACCAAUUGACUGCAACAGCGUAGGUGGCGGCUGUGACCGCUACAAAUUUUACGCCGCGUGGAGGGGGCCGGAUAUGCGCAUUGGUUAGCUCUAUGACCCCUGCCUUUUGUUUGUUUCGGUAUGGAUGGUGAUCUUAAUACGACAAAAUACUACUGAUAGAGUAGGUAUGUUGAAUCUCAAUGCAUCUCUGUAUCGUAUAUUGUUGGUUGGGUAAAUGCUAUUCUUACAAACAACUUCUACAAUAAUUUAUUUAUAAAUUUUAAAACUUAGUGGUUAGAUUUUAUUCUUUGCCUUGUUAAUUACAACAAUCACCUCGUUGUUGAUAUCAUUUUACUAGUUAAAUCUGAUACAUGCCUAAGAAUUCGUUUGUGAGUACAGUAUUACUGUAUUGGCUGCUUGCAAUGUAGUUGGAGAAUCUGGAUAGGUACGCGCAAAAUCGAAGUGGGAUUUUGUGCAGGAUCAAUCAUUAAGCUUAUCGCCCUAACAUGGGCGGAUGCAUCGAAUGCGCCUAGUCAGCAGGCCGUGCGCCUAAUCAGCAGGCCACGCGAGUUGCCAAUAUUUUGGAAGUCUUGGUUGAUGGCAAUAAGACGGUCCAAAGUCUUUCCUCAGAAAUAAAGAAAAGCUUCCAGACAAAAGACGGACCCGAGUCCCUGUCACCGAAAAAGCUUCCUCUGCGUGAUAUUACAACUGGCGUCGAAGAAGCUCGGAUUUGACGCGGCUCCAAUCAAUUGCCAAAAUGUACGUUCAAUUUCAAACCGAGCCGAUUCGGUGAGGGCUCGCCCCAGCUCGGUCCGUUUUACACCCCUGAUUACAAGUACUAGUUUGUCGUAACGGAAGAGCAUCCUAUGCGUGAUGAGCAAUGGAGAUUAGCAGUAUACUGUAUGCCUAAGCAUAUGAAAGAUGGGUAAAUUGCCCUCAAAACUGCGAGGCGGUGGUAUUUUGGUUCUCAAAUUUUAAUUUGUUAUAAUUUUUAGCUUGAAUUUUUAAAAUUAUUAUAAUCAAGUUAUAUAAUGUAAUUUAGCUGACUAAGCAUUAAUUUUUGGCA
This is an RNA transcript of Ananas comosus (pineapple), 3947 nucleotides long. It is a transcript of the gene named protein RRNAD1, with no coding region annotated. The transcript has 16 exons. Lineage: Eukaryota; Viridiplantae; Streptophyta; Magnoliopsida; Poales; Bromeliaceae. The record is from RefSeq and is a predicted model, not a curated record.